GGUUAACUUCUUUGGACACUAACACAAUGACUAUGGAUUCUUGGGCUGCUGCUUUCUCAAAUUCCUUAGGACUAAUGAUUUGGAGGUGCUUUUCAACCUUUACAUCCUUCUUUCCAGCAAUAGAAGGUCUAGGAGGCAAAGGGUUUAGUCGAAUUUUCUUUUCUUGGUGAACAAAAGAACAGGAAUUGGAUUUGCCAUAAAUGGUCACAUCCAAAUCAUAAAGCCAUGGUCUACCAAGGAUGAUGUGUCCAACGUCCA
RNAcentral lists this long non-coding RNA (258 nucleotides) under Phoenix dactylifera (date palm). Its description in RNAcentral is "long non-coding RNA (PDAC_LNC022336)". Lineage: Eukaryota; Viridiplantae; Streptophyta; Magnoliopsida; Arecales; Arecaceae. The record is from RNAcentral.